RNAcentral lists this long non-coding RNA (1664 nucleotides) under Oryza sativa (Asian cultivated rice). RNAcentral's name for it is "long non-coding RNA (OSAT_LNC000379)". The record is from RNAcentral. Lineage: Eukaryota; Viridiplantae; Streptophyta; Magnoliopsida; Poales; Poaceae.
UCUUAGUAAAUAAAUUACUUAGAAUUAACUUAUUGGUAUCGCCACGAGAUUUCUCUUAGUAAAUAAAUUACUCUUACACCGAUGGUUCUCAACAUAACAUAUUGAUCUUGCCACAAAGUUUCUCAUAGUAACCAAGUUACUAUUACACUGAUAGUUCAACAACAUAUUGUCUCUUAGUAACUAAAUUACUAUUAAAUCGAUGCUUCUCAACAUUCCGUUUGAAACAUGCGCAAACUUUGGCUUGCUGUGCCAAGUCUCCCCAGAAUCUGUGCUUUGCCUCAUUAUCGUCGUCACCACCGUGAAGCCAUCCUUGCCGUCACUCCUCCCUGGACUUGACAUGCACCAACGCAGUUGACAGGAGGACACCACUUUCUGCAUCUCCGGAUGAGGAAAAAAUUCAGAGAGCCUCCUAAUCAUGUUAUGCUUUUGCUCAAGAAUAAUGUGUAGUUAUAAAACUGAAAUAUCAGGUACGCUCCUAAUUCAUCAUGUUGUUGCUAGGAAAUUGAAAUCACAGAGCAUGAAAACACAAACAGAAAGAUUAGUCUGAAUGGCACAUCAACAGCUAGAGGGAGCACAUAAAAGAAAGGAGUAUAAUUUCUCACAGUAAGUUUGUUUCCCACUUAAAUAUCUGAACAAAAACAGAUCCAGAAUUACAGGUAGAAUGAAACAAAAUUGAAAAUUGCAUUUGAUUUCCUCAAUAAUUGCAGAUGCUAUGUAUUAAAAAUGCACAAGGAUAUGAACGGAAACAAAAUGAUUAUGGAACUGGAAGCAAAACAGCCAGCAACUAUAUGUUUUCAACAGGCCUGACUCAACAAAUUUGUGAAAUUAUUAUGUUCAGCUCAGUCACACAAUAAAAAUAGGAAAAGGUGUUUCCAGAUGCUAAAACAUCACUGCACAGGUGCUAAAACAUCACUGGGUUGAACUUUGGGUUAAUUGAAGUGUAUAGCUUAAUUUAACCCAGUGCAAAUUAAAGCGCAGCAAGGAAGAUGCAACUAGCCAAACAGGAACAAAUUGAUCCACGAUGGAUCAAUGGGACAUGCAUGUACAUUAUACAAACUCACGAAGGAACACAAGCAAUCAACACAUAUCUGGCGCCGGCAAAUAAGCUGCAAUUAGUUGACCAAACACAGCAGCUGUGCUUCCUCCAAAAAAAGGCAGAAGCUAUAGCCUAUAGAGAUCAAUCGAGCAGACAGAUCAUGUAGCAAAAUAAAACACCAACUAAUUGCACAAUCUAACACUCGAUCGAGGGCACGUAUGUGUACGUGCAGACGGGUGGAUUCAGAUCGAUUCAACGAUAGUAUCAAGAUUAGAUUAGAGUGAGUAAAAAGCCAAGCGAUCGAACAAACAUGCACCAUUCAACUGCUCUACCGAGCGCCAUGACCGUCGCCUCUCCUCCUCGCCGCCGCUGCAAACUGGAUGUCAGCACUUCAGUCCCGGACCGCAGGCCGCCGUGGAGGAUUGGGACAAGGGGCUGCACGGUGGAAGAGACGACGAAGGCGUAGAACUGCUAUGGAGGAGGCGGCGGCGUGGAUACUGCUCUCCUCCAUGCAUUGUCGAUCUCGAGAUCCAUAAAAAACGGAAAAUUGAAAAGAGAGAGGAUAGUGGGGGUAAAAAAAAUAGAUAGGCAGACGUGCGGGAGGGAGGGAGGGUGGAGGGUGUUGGGG